GGGCCGGUGGCGGAAUGGCAGACGCAGGGGACUUAAAAUCCUCCGGUGGCAACACCGUGUGGGUUCGACUCCCACCCGGCCUA
Molecule: transfer RNA, 83 nt
Filed under: Anaerolineae bacterium
Lineage: Bacteria; Bacillati; Chloroflexota; Anaerolineae
Description: tRNA-Leu
Rfam family: tRNA
About the family: Transfer RNA (tRNA) molecules are approximately 80 nucleotides in length.
Source: RNAcentral